This 301-nucleotide ribosomal RNA is filed under the name Weissella cibaria. Its description in RNAcentral is "bacterial SSU rRNA". It matches the Rfam family "Bacterial small subunit ribosomal RNA", at positions 54 to 311 of the family's 1533-position model. Lineage: Bacteria; Bacillati; Bacillota; Bacilli; Lactobacillales; Lactobacillaceae. The record is from RNAcentral.
GCCUAUCAUGCAGUCGAACGCUUUGUGGUUCAACUGAUUUGAAGAGCUUGCUCAGAUAUGACGAUGGACAUUGCAAAGAGUGGCGAACGGGUGAGUAACACGUGGGAAACCUACCUCUUAGCAGGGGAUAACAUUUGGAAACAGAUGCUAAUACCGUAUAACAAUAGCAACCGCAUGGUUGCUACUUAAAAGAUGGUUCUGCUAUCACUAAGAGAUGGUCCCGCGGUGCAUUAGUUAGUUGGUGAGGUAAUGGCUCACCAAGACGAUGAUGCAUAGCCGAGUUGAGAGACUGAUCGGCCCU